Long non-coding RNA from Mauremys mutica (yellowpond turtle), 263 nucleotides. RefSeq lists it as uncharacterized. Lineage: Eukaryota; Metazoa; Chordata; Testudines; Geoemydidae. The transcript is spliced from 3 exons. The record is from RefSeq and is a predicted model, not a curated record.
CUUUUAUUACUUUUCACAAGAAAGGAAGUCGUGGGACGAGGCCGAGCAGUUUUGUGUGUCUCAGGAGUCGCACCUGACCUCUGUCUCCUUCCAGGCAGAACAGGAGUUUCUCUCCAGCGAGACCAAGGGAGAAGCUCACUGGAUUGGACUCACCGACCGGGAGACAGAAGGCAGCUGGCGCUGGGCGGAUGGCACAGAAUACAGAGCAGACGCAAGCAGGGGGUUCUGGGCGGAGAAUGAGCCAAACAAUCACGAUCCAGAGA